Molecule: ribosomal RNA, 557 nt
Filed under: uncultured bacterium
Lineage: Bacteria
Description: bacterial SSU rRNA
Rfam family: Bacterial small subunit ribosomal RNA
Source: RNAcentral
ACGGGUGCGUAACGCGUGGGAAUCUGCCCUUUGGUUCGGAAUAACAGCUGGAAACGGCUGCUAAUACCGGAUGAUGACGAAAGUCCAAAGAUUUAUCGCCAGAGGAUGAGCCCGCGUUGGAUUAGGUAGUUGGUGGGGUAAAGGCCUACCAAGCCGACGAUCCAUAGCUGGUCUGAGAGGAUGAUCAGCCACACUGGGACUGAGACACGGCCCAGACUCCUACGGGAGGCAGCAGUGGGGAAUAUUGGACAAUGGGCGAAAGCCUGAUCCAGCAAUGCCGCGUGAGUGAUGAAGGCCCUAGGGUUGUAAGGCUCUUUUACCCGGGAAGAUAAUGACUGUACCGGGAGAAUAAGCCCCGGCUAACUCCGUGCCAGCAGCCGCGGUAAUACGGAGGGGGCUAGCGUUGUUCGGAAUUACUGGGCGUAAAGCGCACGUAGGCGGCUUUGUAAGUCAGAGGUGAAAGCCUGGAGCUCAACUCCAGAACUGCCUUUGAGACUGCAUCGCUUGAAUCCAGGAGAGGUCAGUGGAAUUCCGAGUGUAGAGGUGAAAUUCGUAGA